CUGCAAUGCGCCAAGCGGACGCGGGCGCGGCUCGUAGGGGCUGGGCCGGCUAGGCCGGCGGGGCCCCGGGGCCUCGGCGGCGUGCUUGCACUGUCCUGUCCGCGAGCACGCCAAGGAGGCCCCGAGCUCGAGGGAAAUUCAGCAGGUUUCGGAGCUUACUGUCACGGUGUCACUCAUCACUGUUGCUGCGGGUGACGAAGGAUGUUUGACGUGCACGGAGCGCUUACGGAGUCGGAGCUGCGUGGGGCCACAAGUCACAAGAACGAUUCCGGACGCGAAGCGUGAAGCUGCCUCGACGCUGCCGCAAUGCCGUCACCACGGAGACUGCGCCGGCCGCCGGCUCCCACUGCUGUUGAUUGUUGGUGACUGCGGUCAACCCCUAGAGAUAUAUUCCCUGUAGGGGCCUAGGUUUGGCCGAUAGACGACACUCUUCGGUUUGCCUCUUUCAGUAUGCUGGGUCAACGUCAAGACGCCAAAGACCUCGCACUACCACCGGAAGGAAAUAAAGAUAACUGUCUCGA
Long non-coding RNA from Frankliniella occidentalis (western flower thrips), 521 nucleotides. RefSeq lists it as uncharacterized. Lineage: Eukaryota; Metazoa; Arthropoda; Insecta; Thysanoptera; Thripidae. The record is from RefSeq and is a predicted model, not a curated record. The transcript is spliced from 2 exons.